RNAcentral lists this ribosomal RNA (38 nucleotides) under Cytospora punicae. Its description in RNAcentral is "partial 18S ribosomal RNA". The record is from RNAcentral. Lineage: Eukaryota; Fungi; Ascomycota; Sordariomycetes; Diaporthales; Cytosporaceae.
GGAAGUAAAAGUCGUACAAGUCUCGUUGUGACCAGCGA